This is a long non-coding RNA of Dermochelys coriacea (leatherback sea turtle), 1190 nucleotides long. RefSeq lists it as uncharacterized. The transcript has 2 exons. NCBI's taxonomy places the organism in Eukaryota, Metazoa, Chordata, Testudines, Dermochelyidae. The record is from RefSeq and is a predicted model, not a curated record.
GUUUCCCUGCAGCCACGGCAGUUUCCUGAGCAGCAUCAGCCCCUCCCCUUCCUCCCUGUUGCUCCUGCAUGCGCUGCCUCUCUGGUGACACAGGUGGGACACACAACGCUUAAGGAGCAAGGAUCCAAUCCUAUUGCUGCAUUGUGGAGCAGCUACAGGAUCAACAGAGGGAUGGGUUUCACCUUUAUUGUUAAUCUGUACAUUUUAUUAACACAACUGCUUGUUACUCUGCUCUCUUUAAAGAGUACCUGCUUAGUUCCUGGCACAAUACAAAUGCUUACAAGCUGGUCAUAGAUGUGUGUAUGAAACAGCAGCAUUGAAUUACCUGUCAUCCUGUACAGCAGGGAUGAAAGGGGAAGUUAUUUACAUAAAUUAUUGGAGAGCAGUAAAUAUUAUUUCAUGAUAUCACAUCAAGAUUAAGUUAAUCAAACUUGAUAUUAAGAGGCAGAAGGAUUUGUUCUUAGUCAAAGACACAGUUAAAGAAGGUGCUUGAGGGUAAGGGAGAGAGCCUACUUAGGAAGAUUUUUAUCACAGAAUGGGCAAUGCCUUGGAGGCUCAUAACUAAGGUUUUAAAUCAGUUAUGAUUUUACAGUUUUUACAGAAAAUGCUAUUUUUACCAGAUUUGGAUGAUUCUGCACAUUUGUUCUAUUCCUCCAUAGUUCCACAGAGCAGAGGUUUUUACUCACUGAACUCUACCCCCAAUGUCAGUUCAGCUGUGAGUGUUAGGUGUAUUUGGUGAGAGCUCCCUUCUUCUAAUCAAAGUUUAUAAUUAGAUUUGAAUAUGUUUUCUUUACAUUUUUAAUUCUGCUAGAAUUUUUGCUCAAGUUUAUCAGUGCCGGAAUCUGCUUUUAAUUAAUGUAAAAUCGCAAAUACAAGUUAUGUUGCUUAUUAGUUAAAAAUUAAUUUGUCUGUUUGCCACAACAAGCCCAAUUCCUUGAGGCUCUGAGUGUCUCCACAGAAGUAUCAAGCGCCUGCAACUCUCACUGAAAACAAAAGACUCUUCAAAAGGAGCUGCAGGCAUACAUCAACUAGCAGGAUUGGGCCUAUUGUUUGUAUUUCCUCUGAAGUUAGUUGGAAAGUGGGGUUUUUUUCACAGAAUUUUUCAACCUUUCAUUGAAAAAUGAUGACAGAAUAAUUUUAACCUGGAAAUUUCCAAAAAUGAUUAAAUGUUAGCCAAAAACUGGAAAAAA